RNAcentral lists this long non-coding RNA (942 nucleotides) under Homo sapiens (human). RNAcentral describes it as "downregulated RNA in cancer, inhibitor of cell invasion and migration". The record is from RNAcentral. Lineage: Eukaryota; Metazoa; Chordata; Mammalia; Primates; Hominidae.
GACUGGAGAGGCCAGCACGCACAGUGACUUAAUCCAAGAAGAUGGAAUAAAAAGGCCUACCUCAUUGGGCUCGUGUGGGUGAGGAGAACUGAAGAGUCUGAGAGCGCGGCACGAGCCAGAGGCUACGGAAAACACUGCCCUCCUACACUCCACCUUGGAGAGACCCAGAAAAGAACAAGCUUCAUUUGUAAAAAAGGAAAACAACUCAGGCAAUGGGGGUGGCUUAAAGGCACUCUACAGUGUGCAGAUGCCUUCCACUUCUUCCAUCUGCCCUGUCUCUCCAAGAACCCCUAUGGCCCCGGUCUCAGAACAGAGCUGAGUGCAGAAAUGAAAAUCUAUGGCUCUGUGUUCCAAAACGAUGAAGAAUUUCAAGAUGGUGGCAGUGGUAAAAUCUUUCUCCAGGAAAAAUCUGUCCUUGGCCCAAUGUGUAAACACUUGCUGAGGAACUUGGAAUAACUUGCAGUGUCUUGCAGUAUUGUGAAACCAGCAACUUGUUCACAAUUCUUCUGAAUUUCUUGGGAAAUUUGAAGUGGAGUACCUGUACCAACAUGAAAUGACACGAAUUUAAGUGACGCUCAACAACGAAAAGCAAAAAGAACCAAAGAGGAAGCAACUGAAACAACAUCUGGAUGUAUUUAAAAAUAUACAAUGCCUCCAAAAUCAGGUGUCAUUAAUGAAAAUUCUGAAGAAAUGCCACCGGACAUAGCCAACGCACCUACGCUGUUGUUAUUCAUUUCCUGCUUUUCACAGAAAACAAUUUUGUUGCAUGGAAGAUCGUGAACUUCAAAGGGCAGAGGGGAAACUGUCCCUUGGCCUCUACCCCUCCAAGGCCCCACUUUUUUGUCAACACUCCUUGGACGCAGCAGAAGUAUGAACAUAAUAUGGUCCUGAAUGAGGCUGAGUCUUUGGGCGCAGAAGACCCGGGUUAAUAAAAAUAGGAAG